GAUGAACGCUGGCGGCGUGCCUAAUACAUGCAAGUCGAGCGAACGGACGAGAAGCUUGCUUCUCUGAUGUUAGCGGCGGACGGGUGAGUAACACGUGGAUAACCUACCUAUAAGACUGGGAUAACUUCGGGAAACCGGAGCUAAUACCGGAUAAUAUUUUGAACCGCAUGGUUCAAAAGUGAAAGACGGUCUUGCUGUCACUUAUAGAUGGAUCCGCGCUGCAUUAGCUAGUUGGUAAGGUAACGGCUUACCAAGGCAACGAUGCAUAGCCGACCUGAGAGGGUGAUCGGCCACACUGGAACUGAGACACGGUCCAGACUCCUACGGGAGGCAGCAGUAGGGAAUCUUGCGCAAUGGGCGAAAGCCUGACGGAGCAACGCCGCGUGAGUGAUGAAGGUCUUCGGAUCGUAAAACUCUGUUAUUAGGGAAGAAAAUAUGUGUAAUUAACUGUGCACAUCUUGACGGUACCUAAUCAGAAAGCCACGGCUAACUACGUG
Molecule: ribosomal RNA, 497 nt
Filed under: uncultured bacterium
Lineage: Bacteria
Description: partial 16S ribosomal RNA
Rfam family: Bacterial small subunit ribosomal RNA
Source: RNAcentral